This 74-nucleotide transfer RNA is filed under the name Pseudomonadota bacterium. RNAcentral describes it as "tRNA-Arg". It matches the Rfam family "tRNA". Rfam says of the family: Transfer RNA (tRNA) molecules are approximately 80 nucleotides in length. Their secondary structure includes four short double-helical elements and three loops (D, anti-codon, and T loops). RNAcentral also lists the same sequence under 3 other names. Lineage: Bacteria; Pseudomonadati; Pseudomonadota. The record is from RNAcentral.
GACUGCGUAGCUCAGUUGGAUAGAGCAACUGUUUCCUAAACAGUAGGUCGCGCGUUCGAAUCGCGCCGCGGUCA